UACGAAGGGGGCUAGCGUUGCUCGGAAUUAUUGGGCGUAAAGAGCUCGUAGGCGGCUUGUCGCGUCGGAUGUGAAAGCCCGGGGCUUAACUCCGGGUCUGCAUUCGAUACGGGCAGGCUAGAGUUCGGUAGGGGAGAUCGGAAUUCCUGGUGUAGCGGUGAAAUGCGCAGAUAUCAGGAGGAACACCGGUGGCGAAGGCGGAUCUCUGGGCCGAUACUGACGCUGAGGAGCGAAAGCGUGGGGAGCGAACAGG
RNAcentral lists this ribosomal RNA (253 nucleotides) under uncultured bacterium. Its description in RNAcentral is "partial 16S ribosomal RNA". It matches the Rfam family "Bacterial small subunit ribosomal RNA", at positions 524 to 776 of the family's 1533-position model. The record is from RNAcentral.